GUAGGGUGCGAGCGUUAAUCGGAAUUACUGGGCGUAAAGCGUGCGCAGGCGGUUGGGCAAGACCGAUGUGAAAGCCCCGGGCUUAACCUGGGAAUGGCAUUGGUGACUGCUCGGCUAGAGUGUGUCAGAGGGAGGUAGAAUUCCACGUGUAGCAGUGAAAUGCGUAGAGAUGUGGAGGAAUACCGAUGGCGAAGGCAGCCUCCUGGGAUAACACUGACGCUCAUGCACGUAAGCGUGGGGAGCAAACAGGAUUAGGUACCCUGGUAGUCCACGCCCCUAAACGAUGUCAACUAGUUGUCGGGGAUUAAUUUCCUUGGUAACGCAGCUAACGCGUGAAGUUGACCGCCUGGGAGUACGGUCGCAAGAUUA
This 369-nucleotide ribosomal RNA is filed under the name uncultured organism. RNAcentral describes it as "partial 16S ribosomal RNA". It matches the Rfam family "Bacterial small subunit ribosomal RNA", at positions 527 to 896 of the family's 1533-position model. The record is from RNAcentral.